Molecule: ribosomal RNA, 497 nt
Filed under: uncultured bacterium
Lineage: Bacteria
Description: partial 16S ribosomal RNA
Rfam family: Bacterial small subunit ribosomal RNA
Source: RNAcentral
GACGAACGCUGGCGGCGUGCCUAAUACAUGCAAGUAGAACGCUGAAGAGAGGAGCUUACUCUUCUUGGAUGAGUUGCGAACGGGUGAGUAACGCGUAGGUAACCUGCCUUGUAGCGGGGGAUAACUAUUGGAAACGAUAGCUAAUACCGCAUAACAAUGGAUGACACAUGUCAUUUAUUUGAAAGGGGCAAUUGCUCCACUACAAGAUGGACCUGCGUUGUAUUAGCUAGUAGGUGAGGUAAUGGCUCACCUAGGCGACGAUACAUAGCCGACCUGAGAGGGUGAUCGGCCACACUGGGACUGAGACACGGCCCAGACUCCUACGGGAGGCAGCAGUAGGGAAUCUUCGGCAAUGGGGGCAACCCUGACCGAGCAACGCCGCGUGAGUGAAGAAGGUUUUCGGAUCGUGAAGCUCUGUUGUAAGUCAAGAACGGGUGUGAGAGUGGAAAGUUCACACUGUGACGGUAGCUUACCAGAAAGGGACGGCUAACUACGUG